UAACACGUGGGUAACCUGCCUCAUAGAGGGGAAUAGCCUUUCGAAAGGAAGAUUAAUACCGCAUAUGGUAGCUUUAUCGCAUGGUAAUGCUAUUAAAGGAGUAAUCCGCUAUGAGAUGGACCCGCGUCGCAUUAGCUAGUUGGUGAGGUAACGGCUCACCAAGGCGACGAUGCGUAGCCGACCUGAGAGGGUGAUCGGCCACAUUGGGACUGAGACACGGCCCAGACUCCUACGGGAGGCAGCAGUGGGGAAUAUUGCACAAUGGGGGAAACCCUGAUGCAGCAACGCCGCGUGAGUGAUGACGGCCUUCGGGUUGUAAAACUCUGUCUUUGGGGACGAUAAUGACGGUACCCAAGGAGGAAGCCACGGCUAACUACGUGCCAGCAGCCGCGGUAAUACGUAGGUGGCAAGCGUUGUCCGGAUUUACUGGGCGUAAAGGGAGCGUAGGUGGAUAUUUAAGUGGGAUGUGAAAUACUCGGGCUUAACCUGGGUGCUGCAUUCCAAACUGGAUAUCUAGAGUGCAGGAGAGGAAAGGAGAAUUCCUAGUGUAGCGGUGAAAUGCGUAGAGAUUAGGAAGAAUACCAGUGGCGAAGGCGCCUU
Molecule: ribosomal RNA, 600 nt
Filed under: Clostridium sp. SY-8
Lineage: Bacteria; Bacillati; Bacillota; Clostridia; Eubacteriales; Clostridiaceae
Description: bacterial SSU rRNA
Rfam family: Bacterial small subunit ribosomal RNA
Source: RNAcentral